This 253-nucleotide ribosomal RNA is filed under the name uncultured bacterium. RNAcentral describes it as "partial 16S ribosomal RNA". It matches the Rfam family "Bacterial small subunit ribosomal RNA", at positions 524 to 776 of the family's 1533-position model. The record is from RNAcentral.
GACGUAGGGCGCGAGCGUUGUCCGGAUUUAUUGGGCGUAAAGAGCUCGUAGGCGGCUUGUUGCGUCGACCGUGAAAACCCGCGGCUCAACUGCGGGCUUGCGGUUGAUACGGGCAGGCUGGAGUUCGGUAGGGGAGACUGGAAUUCCUGGUGUAGCGGUGAAAUGCGCAGAUAUCAGGAGGAGCACCGGUGGCGAAGGCGGGUCUCUGGGCCGAUACUGACGCUGAGGAGCGAAAGCGUGGGGAGCGAACAGG